RNAcentral lists this ribosomal RNA (575 nucleotides) under Colletotrichum fructicola. Its description in RNAcentral is "eukaryotic LSU rRNA". The stretch from base 203 to 356 matches the Rfam family "5.8S ribosomal RNA". The record is from RNAcentral. Lineage: Eukaryota; Fungi; Ascomycota; Sordariomycetes; Glomerellales; Glomerellaceae.
UCCGUAGGUGAACCUGCGGAGGGAUCAUUACUGAGUUUACGCUCUAUAACCCUUUGUGAACAUACCUAUAACUGUUGCUUCGGCGGGUAGGGUCUCCGCGACCCUCCCGGCCUCCCGCCUCCGGGCGGGUCGGCGCCCGCCGGAGGAUAACCAAACUCUGAUUUAACGACGUUUCUUCUGAGUGGUACAAGCAAAUAAUCAAAACUUUUAACAACGGAUCUCUUGGUUCUGGCAUCGAUGAAGAACGCAGCGAAAUGCGAUAAGUAAUGUGAAUUGCAGAAUUCAGUGAAUCAUCGAAUCUUUGAACGCACAUUGCGCCCGCCAGCAUUCUGGCGGGCAUGCCUGUUCGAGCGUCAUUUCAACCCUCAAGCUCUGCUUGGUGUUGGGGCCCUACAGCUGAUGUAGGCCUUCAAAGGUAGUGGCGGACCCUCCCGGAGCCUCCUUUGCGUAGUAACUUUACGUCUCGCACUGGGAUCCGGAGGGACUCUUGCCGUAAAACCCCCCAAUUUUCCAAAGGUUGACCUCGGAUCAGGUAGGAAUACCCGCUGAACUUAAGCAUAUCAAUAAGCGGAGGA